ACGCUCGACACCUACAGGAGGCAGCAGUGGGGAAUAUUGCACAAUGGGGGAAACCCUGAUGCAGCAACGCCGCGUGAAGGAAGACGGUUUUCGGAUUGUAAACUUCUGUUCUUAGUGAAGAUAGUGACGGUAGCUAAGGAGCAAGCCACGGCUAACUACGUGUCAGCAGCCGCGGUAAUCUGAGGCGGGCGUGGCGAAGGC
This 201-nucleotide ribosomal RNA is filed under the name uncultured bacterium. RNAcentral's name for it is "partial 16S ribosomal RNA". It matches the Rfam family "Bacterial small subunit ribosomal RNA", at positions 328 to 538 of the family's 1533-position model. The record is from RNAcentral.